UAGGGAAUCUUCGGCAAUGGACGCAAGUCUGACCGAGCAACGCCGCGUGAGUGAAGAAGGCUUUCGGGUCGUAAAACUCUGUUGCCAGGGAAGAACGCUUGGGAGAGUAACUGCUCCUGAGGUGACGGUACCUGAGAAGAAAGCCCCGGCUAACUACGUGCCAGCAGCCGCGGUAAUACGUAGGGGGCAAGCGUUGUCCGGAAUUAUUGGGCGUAAAGCGCGCGCAGGCGGUCUUUUAAGUCUGGUGUUUAAACCCGGAGCUCAACUCCGGGUCGCACGGGAAACUGGGAGACUGGAGUGCAGGAGAGGGAAGCGGAAUUCCACGUGUAGCGGUGAAAUGCGUAGAGAUGUGGAGGAACACCAGUGGCGAAGGCGGCUUCCUGGCCUGUAACUGACGCUGAGGCGCGAAAGCGUGGGGAGCAAACA
Molecule: ribosomal RNA, 426 nt
Filed under: uncultured Paenibacillus sp.
Lineage: Bacteria; Bacillati; Bacillota; Bacilli; Caryophanales; Paenibacillaceae
Description: bacterial SSU rRNA
Rfam family: Bacterial small subunit ribosomal RNA
Source: RNAcentral